RNAcentral lists this ribosomal RNA (850 nucleotides) under uncultured bacterium. RNAcentral describes it as "bacterial SSU rRNA". It matches the Rfam family "Bacterial small subunit ribosomal RNA", at positions 40 to 828 of the family's 1533-position model. The record is from RNAcentral.
ANGCGNGUCUAGGCAUGCAGUCUACGGUUCUUCACCCUUCGUUUCUCUUAGGGUUUCGAACCGCAAGGUAUUUUUCGAUAACUACCCUGCGGUUCGUAGCUCUCGCGACGGAGGAGCGAAGAGUGAAGAACCGUGGCAGACGGGUGCGUAACACAUUGGUAAUCUACCCUUUUCCCGAGUAUAACCUGGAGAAAUCCGGGAUAAUCCUCGAUAGUCAUGGGGGGACGCAAGUCAUUCCCAUGUAAAGUUUCGACGGAAGAGGAGGAGCCUAUGGCCCAUUAGCUUGUUGGUAGGGUAAAAGCCUACCAAGGCUAUGACGGGUAGCGGGUGUGAGAGCAUGGCCCGCCUCACUGGGACUGAGACACUGCCCAGACUCCUACGGGAGGCUGCAGUCAAGAAUCUUCCUCAAUGGACGAAAGUCUGAAGGAGCAAUGCCGCGUGAUCGAAGAAGCUUUUCGGAGUGUAAAGAUCUUUUAUCAGGGACGAAUUCGUGACGGUACCUGAAGAAUAAGCACCGGCUAACUACGUGCCAGCAGCCGCGGUAAUACGUAGGGUGCAAGCGUUAAUCGGAAUUACUGGGCGUAAAGCGUGCGCAGGCGGUUGUGCAAGACAGAUGUGAAAUCCCCGGGCUUAACCUGGGAACUGCAUUUGUGACUGUGCGACUGGAGUGCGGCAGAGGGGGAUAGAAUUCCGCGUGUAGCAGUGAAAUGCGUAGAUAUGCGGAGGAACACCGAUGGCGAAGGCAGUCCCCUGGGCCUGCACUGACGCUCAUGCACNAAAGCGUGGGGAGCAAACAGGAUUANAUACCCUGGUAGUCCACGCCCUAAACGAUGUCAACUGGUUGUUGGAC